Capsicum annuum is the source of this 1556-nucleotide long non-coding RNA. RefSeq lists it as uncharacterized. NCBI's taxonomy places the organism in Eukaryota, Viridiplantae, Streptophyta, Magnoliopsida, Solanales, Solanaceae. The record is from RefSeq and is a predicted model, not a curated record. The transcript is spliced from 2 exons.
AAUAGGGGAAUAUAUCAAAAAGAAAAAAAAAAAGAACGCCAAGGGUUGAGGGGCAUAAAAGGAUGGGGAGAGAGCAUCAAUUUCAACCGAAAAAAAGGCCACAAAAGGGUAGAAAACAAUCACAAUCGCCGCCCCCAUCUUGAAAUCGAACAACGUCAGGAACUUCAACACAUCAAUCGAAGCAAAUCAAGAUCCUUACAACAACAACAACAACAACAACAAACCCAGUGUAUUCCCACAUAGUGAGGUCUGGGGAGGGUAAGAUGUACGCAGUCCAUACCUCUACCUCUAAAGAUCCUUACAGUUGGAGUUAAAUUUAAAGAACUGGGCAAAUAGAUAGGUUCGAGCCUGGACAAACAAACAAGUUUUUCUGAAACAAACUAAAACGUCUUGCUGAAGAUGAGAGUGCUUCACACAUUAAAACUUUAGAAACAUUGGGUUAUAUUGUACCAUGCAAGUAAUUUUUUAGUUUAUUAUUUUUCAAUAUUUCUCUCUAAUUUUUUUCCACCAGUAAAUGCUUAAAUCUGAAAUUGAAUGAUUGUAGAACAUGGAUUGAAGGGAUUGAUAUCAACAAAAUAUGAUGUUUAUAGUUAUCUAUCAUGUUGAUAGAAAUGUUUACAAGGACAAAGCCUAAUGAUGAAAUAUUUGAUGAAGAUCUUACCUUGAAGCAGUGGGUGAGCAAUUCACUCCCACAUGCAGUAAUGAAAGUUGUCGAUGCCAACUUAAUAACACCACAUGAUGAUCACUUAAUGAAAAAGUUAGAUUGUGUAGUAUCCAUCUUGUGGCGUUCUUAAGUUGGCAUCUACAACUUCCAUUACUGCACAACCCACUGCUUCAAGGUAAGUUCUCCAUUACACAUUUCAUCAUUAGCCAUUGUCCUGGUAAAUAUUUCUAUCAACAUGAUCCCAUAACUAUAGACAUCACACUUUGUUGACACCAAUCCCUCCCUUCCAUAUUAUACAAUCAUUCAAUUUCAAAGUUACACAUUUACGGAUGGGAAAGAGAAAUGUUCAAAAAUAGUUAAUUAAGAGAUUACUUACCCGGUGCAAUAUAAGCCAAUGUUCCUAAAGUUUUAGUGUGAAACAUUCUCAUCUUGAAAUGCAAAAGUCGCUUAGGUGGGCAAACAUGUCCUAGUCCAACAAGACGUUACUAGGCUUCAAAUCACGGGCAACAAGCAGCCAUAAUGGAGAUAUUCCAAAGCAAAUUGUUAUUCCAAAGCGAAGCGGCCAUAGUGGAAGUUCCUCCUUUCAAGUCUUUCUACUCUACAACCAUAGUUAAAGAUGGUGGCUUUUCUUUUUUGGUUGGUAUUUCACGAUUGUGAUUGUGGCUUUGAAAUCCCAAAUUGGGGGAAUAAUCCAACUCUUUUUAGUUUUGAAUCUAUCAGGUAAACUUGUAGCCUGCAUUGCUCAAUUGACUAAAUGAGUCCCUUUGCUGUGUCAAUGAUCUUUACUGUAAUUCUAAAUUAAUAUGGUUGUGAGCUAUUUGUAUUACAUUGUUAUAUGGUGAGGAAUCAUGAUACAGUUUGAGUGUAAUUGAAAUAGUUUUACUGAGAUAAA